UUGUAAUGCGUAUUCCAUUCAAUCCAAUGAAUCUAGGGAAAUCUAAGAGUUAAUUUAAGCGGACCUAAAUAAUUUGGAACAUUGUCAUUCACAAUUUAUUGAAAGAACAACUGAAAAUCAAUUUAGGUUGCAUAUGUGUCAUGUGUGGAGAAAAACCCUCUAGCUAGUCCGUCAUCUAUCCUUUCACCUUAAUUUCAUGCUUUUGUCAAUUCUGUAAUAUAUUUAAGUUUAAUUUACUUCUCGUCAAUACCAAACCCCCCCCCCAUU
Molecule: long non-coding RNA, 267 nt
Filed under: Malus domestica (apple)
Lineage: Eukaryota; Viridiplantae; Streptophyta; Magnoliopsida; Rosales; Rosaceae
Description: long non-coding RNA (MDOM_LNC018297)
Source: RNAcentral